Long non-coding RNA from Chenopodium quinoa (quinoa), 1067 nucleotides. RefSeq lists it as uncharacterized. The transcript is spliced from 2 exons. Lineage: Eukaryota; Viridiplantae; Streptophyta; Magnoliopsida; Caryophyllales; Amaranthaceae. The record is from RefSeq and is a predicted model, not a curated record.
GUGAAAAAAUAUGAAAAGAAUAUUUUUGUAAAGAAUGGGAACGAAAUAUAGUAUUUUGGAUAACAAGAAUGAAAAAGAAAUUUAAAUUUUUAAAUUUGAAAAAUUAAAAUUCAAAACAACCGUUUUAAUUCAGGUGUAUGGGUGUAGGAACUCUAGGAAGUAGGAACCACGUAUAUUGUAUAUAAUCAGGAAACAAUUCAUUCUCACUCUCACCAACGUUCAGUCCAAUUCUCUGAUCCUCUCACCUAAAAAACCCUAAGUUCGAUUCUCUCUCUCACCGGAGAUUCUCUUUCACCGAAAUCAGUUCUCUCUCACCGGCGACUCCUCAUUCAUGGGUUUGUAGAUCGGCGUUCCCUGCUACGAAGCGAUCACAACGAGUACCAUUUUUCCCUAGAAUUCUUCAUCGUCAAGGUCUGAUAGUUGUUGCUGAAAGUAUGGUGAUGACCAGAUCCAGAUCCAAGGCUUCAAUGCCUGUUGCUGAAAGUGCGGUGACGACCAGAGCCAAACAAGCUUUAAAUUGGAAGAUUGUUGAAACACACAAGAUAAUCUAGGGGAAAAAGAAGUCGCCAACGGCGUAUUAUAGAAGCGAGAUUUUCAUUCAUCUAGUGCAUACGGAUGCUGCUAAUAUUUUUGUGGAAGAAGAUGAAGCUGUGAGAGAGUUUAAGGAGAAACAAAUUCACAGGGAAGAAGAUGAAGAUCUGAGAGAGUUUAAGGAGAUGAAGCAUGCACUGGUAUCAGAAGAUAUUUGGGAUGAAAUUUGGCGUGCUGCAUUUAAGAAAUGGUUUCCAUGACUGUUACUGAACAAGCUCCUUACCAUAUAAAGGCUGCGAGAAAGUAUCAGGAAGUGGCUGAGGCUAUGAAAAGGAGCGUAGAAAAUUGAACGCCCAAUACCGACGAUGGAAAAAUCGUCAAGACAUGAGGAAGAAGAAAGGAAAUUGAAAGAGUGAUGGCAGAGAGUAGAGCUUAGAAUGGCAGACGACUUUUAAUGUUUGCGCUUGAAUAGAACAUAAGAGUUUAUUGUGCUUGUUAAUGCCACUGUUAAUAAAAAAAAAAAACAUUGAUAAUAA